Molecule: small RNA, 31 nt
Filed under: Bombyx mori (domestic silkworm)
Lineage: Eukaryota; Metazoa; Arthropoda; Insecta; Lepidoptera; Bombycidae
Description: ovarian small RNA-26060
Source: RNAcentral
UCAUCCUCAAACUCCGGUCGAUAUCGACCCC